Molecule: RNA transcript, 2327 nt
Organism: Dendrobium catenatum
Lineage: Eukaryota; Viridiplantae; Streptophyta; Magnoliopsida; Asparagales; Orchidaceae
Gene name: CDK5RAP1-like protein
Exons: 4
Source: RefSeq, a predicted model, not a curated record
AAUAGGUAGGGUUGUCGAGCUCGAAGCAACCACGCAGCCUGAAAACGGUCCAUCACCUCGGCUCGUCUUCUUCCGUCUUCUACCUCUUACCUACUGCGACAAAUUGCAUAAUGGCUUCUCUGUGGAGCCAACCCCACUCGGCCAACAGCAUCAAUAUAUCGCUGCGGAGACGCGUAAGUCUUCACUUCCGCUCGCUGCACCGUCGUUCUUUCUCCAUUCCUCCUAACUCUGCUGGUUCUCGUCCUCUGAAAACCUACGGUAAUCCUCAAAUUAUAAAUUUGAGGCGCCUGCACCAAUUCUCCAAGAGUUUUAAUUUUUUUAAAGUAAAGUCCUCUCCAACCUUCCGUCUUUUCUGCGCUGCCCUGCCGGCCAAAGUCUUGGCGCCUGAGAGCCUCCAACAAGAUGUAGAAUCAACUUUUAAACGUGCAAAUAAAGGCCGCAUCUACCAGGAGACGUAUGGAUGUCAGAUGAAUGUUAAUGAUAUGGAGAUUGUGCUGUCUAUCAUGAAGAAAGAUGGAUAUACAGAAAUUGUUGAAGCCCCAGAGAAUGCAGAGGUCAUCUUUAUCAACACAUGUGCCAUCAGAGACAAUGCUGAGCAAAAGGUAUGGCAGAGACUCAACUACUUCUGGUUUCUAAAAAGAGAGUGGAAGACUAAUGUUGCUAAUGGAAGGUGUACCUCUCUGCAUCCUCCAAAGGUGGUCGUUUUGGGAUGCAUGGCUGAGAGGUUGAAGGAGAAAAUACUUGAUGCAGAAAAAAUGGUAGAUGUGGUUUGUGGACCAGAUGCUUACAGAGACUUACCUCGUUUAUUGGAAGAGGUUGAGUAUGGUCACAAGGGAAUAAACACAUUACUUUCCCUGGAGGAAACUUAUGCUGAUAUUAGUCCUGUAAGAAUUUCAAGCAACACUAUUUCAGCUUUUGUAUCAAUAAUGAGGGGAUGCAAUAAUAUGUGUUCCUUUUGUAUUGUUCCAUUUACUAGAGGAAGGGAGAGAUCUCGUCGAGUAGAAUCAAUUGUGAGAGAGGUAGGCGAGUUACAUGAACAAGGAGUGAAGGAAGUAAUGCUUCUUGGACAGAAUGUUAACAGUUACAACGAUCUUUCCGCAGUUAAAGAUGUUGAACCAGGAUCUAGCUGGGAAUUAAGUGAAGGAUUCUCUAACAACUGCAGAGUGAGAAACAAGGGCUUAAGGUUUUCUGAUCUCUUGGAUCAACUAUCAAUGAAAUUUCCAGAGAUGCGCUUCAGAUAUACAUCGCCGCACCCGAAGGAUUUUCCUGAUGAAUUACUAUAUAUAAUGAGGGAUAGAUAUAAUAUAUGCAAAAACAUUCAUCUACCUGCUCAAACAGGGAGCACCACUGUACUCCAGAGAAUGCGACGAGGUUAUACGAGGGAAGCAUAUUUGGACCUUGUGAAAAAAAUACGUUCAAUCAUUCCAGAUGUUGGGAUUAGCAGUGAUUUUAUAUGUGGUUUCUGUGGUGAAACAGAAGAUGAGCAUGCAGAUACGCUAAGCCUCAUGAAGGCUGUUGGCUAUGAUAAUGCUUACAUGUUUGCAUACAGCUUGAGAGAGAAAACGCAUGCUCACAGGAACUAUGCCGAUGAUGUGCCAGAAAAUGUGAAGCAAAGACGACUCACCGAGAUUAUUGAGGCCUUUAGGGAGAGCAAAGGGCAGUGCUUUGAUUCACAGAUUGGGACCAUUCAGCUUAUUCUUGUAGAAGGACCUAAUAAGAGGCAUCCUGAAACUGAAUUGACAGGAAAGAGUGAUAGAGGCCACAGAGUCUCCUUUCCUUGCAUGCCUCUUCGGCAUUCCUCGGCAGCUGAUGUUGAAUUAAGGAAACCAGUGGCUGGCGAUUUUGUCGAAGUUCGCAUUUUGAAAUCAACGCAGGCUUCGUUAUCUGGGGAAGCAUUGGCAAGGACAAGCUUGAGUGAAUUCUACGGACCUGGUUCAUCUUCAAGUUCUGACAAUGCAUUAGAAGUUGGUGCUGCUGGAAAUUUAUGAGAUUUAAUGAACUGUAGAUGCCGGGCUUUGCUCUUCAUGGAUAAGUGACUGAAGAUGAUGAGUUAAGGUCUAAAUUCAACGAUGAUUGGUCGACAUAUUCCUUUAUAUACCGUGGUUUGUGAUGUCAUCCUCUAUUGAUUUAUUGAUCGGGAGUUAUAAGGAGUUAAAUAUUGUGCUGAUGGGUAGGAGUGACGACUCCAUUUAUUGAAAAUCAAUUGUUACUGGAAAAACACCACACAAAUCAGAACUCCUUGUUUAAUAUGAUUGUUAGACAUGAUUUAUUGUAAUGUUAUUACUGAUUUACUGUUACCAAGGACACAAUUCAUAUAUUAUUGAACA